ACGGUCUUGCGUCACUUCCGGCUUCCCCUCCACCUUUUCCUAGGCUUCGCCUCUAGAGACGUCGGAGGGUGGUAAGGACCGGUUUUUGUGAAAUUCCGUACGGCCUCACAUCCAAAUUAUCUAGGCCCUUUUUCUCCAAUGGCCUAGCAUCCGUCGCGCUUUCCAUGGCUCAGCGAAGCAGGUGGAGGUUCCAGGACUGCAGUUUGCGUUUUGUUCUUAAACACAUUUGGGAAAUUACCCUGACCCUGUCUUAUCUCUCUUGAAGUACAAGACAAAAAGCACCAGUUAUGCCUGAAGAUUCACAGCUAAUGAAGAAACUGCUCACAUUUGGCCAAGAUCACAUAAUAGGAAGUGGGGAAUUGGAACUCACUCUGACUGACUCCAAAUUAAUAGAGAGUUUGUAGCCACUUACAUAAUAAUGGUAAAGGUUUCAUUUGUUGCUAUAUGGGUAAAUUCAUUGAGGGUCAGCACAUCCUCAAAGGAUGCACAAAUGGCAGGAAGGAUUAGAAAAGAAAACCAAAACAGCAGAGAAGCAGAAAAAAGAAAAUCUCCCAAAAUAAACGUAAAGGAAUUAAAAAUAAGAUAUUCAUGAAAUAGAAAAUAAAAUUGAUGAUAAUGCCUUCUGUUUGAAAAGGACAAUAAAUAGACAACAAAUCUAAAGAAAACGAUAUUUGGAAAAAAGGGAACAUAUUUCAGGUAAGAGGGACUUCGAAAAUUGGAAGUGAAUCUAGAAUAGUCUUAUAUGGAUAAUCUUGAAAAUUGACCUGGACAAUUUUCUAGGAAAAUACACAUCCCGAAAAAUUGGCUGUACAGUUAGAAAACCAUAAUGAACUGAUAAUCAUGAAAGAAUGCCCUAUAUAUCCCUGACGAAGGUCACCAGGAACAAAGCAUAGAGAAGAAUGGGAGUGUGUCCCAACUAUGAAAGGAACAUAACCAUAGCAGAAUCUAAAAGAUAGUAAAAUAAAAUAUAGCUCAGUCUCACUUAAAAAUACAUGCAAAAAAAAAGAAAAACCUAACCUAGCAGUGCAUUUAGAGAAUAAUGUCAUAACCAAGUUGGGUUAAUCGUACCUGUACAAGGAUGGUCAACAUUAGACAGGUAAUGAAAAUCUUCUACAUUAGUAGAUAAAGGGGAAAACUAUAUAACUUUAAUUGAUACUGAAAAAACACUUGAGAAAUUAACAUCUAUUACUGAUUU
This is a long non-coding RNA of Mustela erminea (ermine), 1195 nucleotides long. RefSeq lists it as uncharacterized. The transcript has 4 exons. NCBI's taxonomy places the organism in Eukaryota, Metazoa, Chordata, Mammalia, Carnivora, Mustelidae. The record is from RefSeq and is a predicted model, not a curated record.